This 2865-nucleotide long non-coding RNA is filed under the name Canis lupus familiaris (dog). RNAcentral's name for it is "lncRNA (ENSCAFG00040010207.1)". The record is from RNAcentral. Lineage: Eukaryota; Metazoa; Chordata; Mammalia; Carnivora; Canidae.
CAUACCCUCAGACUUUUAACAAAUGCUUUAAUAAUUUGUGCCCUUUUCAUGGUAAAGAUUGCUCCCGAUCCUACGUUAGUAAGUACGACAUAAGUUAUUUAUUUCAAGAUGUGUUUAUCUCACCUUUCCUCUCCAGCACUUUCCUUAAUUGAGCUGAAGAGAUAUUUAUCAGUUGAGGGAACAUGACUAAGAAAGAGACAAAUGGUCCCUUGGUGUGUAAGACUCCAUCAGUUCAAACAGAUAGUGAGACCAAGCCUGAGACUGGGAAAUUGGCUGGAAGGCAGGAAGUAUCCAAAGAAAUGGAAUCACAGAAGAUGAUACUCCAUAGAAUCUGCAGAGGUAGGAAUAUUUUUCUGUUUCUCCAUUUUGGAGACCUUCAUGAAUGCAAGGACAGGCUUGGCAGGCAUCAAGGAAAUUCAGAGGAAGGACGACAACAUAAUGUGAUCGGUGUGGGAAAAGCUUCAUGCACAGCUUGAAGUUCUUGGACAUCAAAGAAUCCACACAGGGAAAAGCCCUUUCAGUGUCAAGAGUGUGGGAGAACCUUUAGUCAGAACACAACCCUGUUUAAGUACCUCAUAAUUCACACGGGUGAAAAACCGUAUCAGUGUAAUCAGUGUAGUAAAAAUUUUAGUCCAGGCUCAGUCCUUAUUAAACAUCAGAGAAAUCACACUGGGGAGGAACUGAACGGGUGCAGUGAAUGUGGCAAAACCUUCAGUAACAGCAUAGGACUUGCUGUGGCAAGCAGAGAUACCAUAGCUUAAUAAAAUGUUACCAAAAAUAAAAAAAAAAAAAAAAAAAAUGUUACCAGUGCCGGGAGUGUGGGAAGGCUUUUAGGGAAAGUUCAGAUUUCACUCAACAUCAGCAAACUCAUACAGGAGAAAAAGCCUUAGAAUGCAGUGAAUGUGGAAAAGCCUUCAGUGUAAGUUCUGACCUUAAUAGACAUUACAGAAUUCACACUGGGGAGAAACCCUGAGUAUGAUGAGUGUGGGAAGGCCUUCCAUCUGACCUCAUGUCUCACUGAGCACCAGAUUAUCCACAACAAAGAAAAACUCUACAUGUGUAAUAAGUGUGGAAAAUCCCUCAAACAGAGGUCAGGUCUCUUUCAACAUUAAAACACACACACACACACACACACACACACACACAACUAAUCAAAACCCAUUGCUUUAAUUAUUGUAGUAAAAUUGUUGAGCAGCAUUUGCAUUUAGGCAAGUCUCCCAUGCUUUCUGGGCAUCUGUGAAUUAUGGGAUUAAAAUAGUAGAAUCUGGGCAGCCCCCGUGGCGCAGCAGUUUAGCGCCAACUGCAGCCCAGGGCGUGAUCCUGGAGAUCCUGGAUCCAGUCCCACGUUGGGCUCUCUGCAUGGUGCCUGCUUCUCCCUCUGCCUGUGUCUCUGCCUCUCUCUCUGCGUCUCUAUGAAUAAAUAAAUAAAAUCUUAAAAAAAAAAAAUAGUAAAAUCUCUCAAAGGUCCCUUCCACCUCUAAAAGUAAGUGGUUUUUGUGAAUACCAUCAACCCUCUAUAUUUAAUUCCUAAACAUUCAAAAGUGUCCUCCACAAAUUUGUCCCAGGAUUUCCGUAUUACUUUCCUUUUCUGGUCUCACUUUGCCUAGCUACCCAAGUACACUCCAGCUUCCAUGUCUGUCUUCCAUUCCUCCCCCUUCAUGCCCUGAAUACCCUUUUUUUUUUUGGAGGGGGCGUUGAUUCCCUAAGUUUAUGUAUGCCUGCUGUAACCCCAUUUGGGAUAAAUAACCUUUCUGAGUGCUGGGUCUCCCAGAGCUUAUAGCAGUGCUUCUGAUGUGUCACUAAAAGUGGCCUGGCUUAUGGAGUAGUGAACUGUCCAGUACCUCCCCUUCAGAGCCCUGGAAGAUUUGUCUGUGCGCAUUCAGUAAAUGUGGUGACAGUUGGGAUUACCUUCUAAAAGAUCUUGCUCUGGCAGCUCUGGUGGCCCAGCAGUUUAGCGCCGCCUUCAGCCCAGGGUGUGAUCCUGGAGACCGGGGAUCGAGUCCCACUUCAGGCUCCCUACAUAGAGCCUGCUUCUCCCUCUGCCUGUGUCUCUGCCUCUCUCUCUCUCUCUCUCUCUCUCUCUCUCUCUCUGUGUGUGUGUGUGUGUGUCUGUCAUGAAUAAAUAAAUAAAAUCUUUAAAAAAAAAUAAAAGAUCUUGCUCUUUCAUGGAGGUCCUAGGAAGUGCUCCUUCCAGGCACUGUUACGUUAAUGCUAUGUUAAUGCAGAGAAAAAUAAAAUGGGUUGGUUCUGGAGAGGAGUUCUGAGGUUUUCCCAAAACAAAGAGCAGAGAAUGGUUCAAGUCAAAAGAAUGUAGAUACUUUGUUCAAUCAGAAGAUGGGUAGCAGGGAUCAAAAAGAGUAUACCCUAGUGAGAUUAAACUGGAUAAGCUAGAAAAUAUGCUCCUUUAGCAUGGCUCCCACAUGAGAGUUAACUUGUUUCAAGACCCAGUGACCCUGAGGGCAUUAGCUGUCAUUCCUAUUAAGUGUCAUAUCACUGUUAAUGUAGAGCUAUCCUUUUUAUAUUGAUUAGCCAGCAUACUUACAAGUGGAAAGACCCUAACUUCCCCCAGGUUUCAAGGGAGAGAUUAAACUUCCAAGCAUAACAAUCUUGGAGGGUAACUCAAGCUAUGGACACUUGAGCCUGGCUUGACAUUAUGACAUUUUUAACAUAAUUUACUGAGUGGUUGAUGAAUCACUGAAUGCGGUGCCAUUUUUUGCCUGCUCUCUCCUCCCUUUUAUUCCCUGACUACUUACAUUCUUUCUGCCACAUCAUUUCUGCCUAAUUAUCUACGUUCUUUCCAAAUUGUGUUUCCUAAAUAUCUAUGUUUCAGGGAGGAAGCAGAGAUAGUUCAGUCAGAGAUGAAAG